RNAcentral lists this ribosomal RNA (2823 nucleotides) under Cronobacter sakazakii. RNAcentral describes it as "partial 23S ribosomal RNA". It matches the Rfam family "Bacterial large subunit ribosomal RNA". The record is from RNAcentral. Lineage: Bacteria; Pseudomonadati; Pseudomonadota; Gammaproteobacteria; Enterobacterales; Enterobacteriaceae.
CGUUAUAACCGGCGAUGUCCGAAUGGGGAAACCCGGUGCACUUCGGUGCAUCAUCGUUAGCUGAAUACAUAGGCUAACGAGGCGAACCGGGGGAACUGAAACAUCUAAGUACCCCGAGGAAAAGAAAUCAACCGAGAUUCCCCCAGUAGCGGCGAGCGAACGGGGAACAGCCCAGAGCCUGAAUCAGCUUGUGUGUCAGUGGAACGGUCUGGAAAGGCCGGCGAUACAGGGUGACAGCCCCGUACACGAAGGCACACAGGCUGUGAGCUCGAUGAGUAGGGCGGGACACGUGAUAUCCUGUCUGAAGAUGGGGGGACCAUCCUCCAAGGCUAAAUACUCCUGACUGACCGAUAGUGAACCAGUACCGUGAGGGAAAGGCGAAAAGAACCCCGGCGAGGGGAGUGAAACAGAACCUGAAACCGUGUACGUACAAGCAGUGGGAGCCUUCGUAAGAGGGUGACUGCGUACCUUUUGUAUAAUGGGUCAGCGACUUAUAUUCUGUAGCAAGGUUAACCGUAUAGGGGAGCCGAAGGGAAACCGAGUCUUAACCGGGCGUUAAGUUGCAGGGUAUAGACCCGAAACCCGGUGAUCUAGCCAUGGGCAGGUUGAAGGUUGGGUAACACUAACUGGAGGACCGAACCGACUAAUGUUGAAAAAUUAGCGGAUGACCUGUGGCUGGGGGUGAAAGGCCAAUCAAACCGGGAGAUAGCUGGUUCUCCCCGAAAGCUAUUUAGGUAGCGCCUCGUGAAUUCAUCUCCGGGGGUAGAGCACUGUUUCGGCUAGGGGGCCAUCCCGGCUUACCAACCCGAUGCAAACUGCGAAUACCGGAGAAUGUUAUCACGGGAGACACACGGCGGGUGCUAACGUCCGUCGUGAAGAGGGAAACAACCCAGACCGCCAGCUAAGGUCCCAAAGUCAUGGUUAAGUGGGAAACGAUGUGGGAAGGCCCAGACAGCCAGGAUGUUGGCUUAGAAGCAGCCAUCAUUUAAAGAAAGCGUAAUAGCUCACUGGUCGAGUCGGCCUGCGCGGAAGAUGUAACGGGGCUAAACCAUGCACCGAAGCUGCGGCAGCGACGCUUAUGCGUUGUUGGGUAGGGGAGCGUUCUGUAAGCCUGCGAAGGUGUGCUGUGAGGCAUGCUGGAGGUAUCAGAAGUGCGAAUGCUGACAUAAGUAACGAUAAAGCGGGUGAAAAGCCCGCUCGCCGGAAGACCAAGGGUUCCUGUCCAACGUUAAUCGGGGCAGGGUGAGUCGACCCCUAAGGCGAGGCCGAAAGGCGUAGUCGAUGGGAAACAGGUUAAUAUUCCUGUACUUGGUGUUACUGCGAAGGGGGGACGGAGAAGGCUAUGUCGGCCGGGCGACGGUUGUCCCGGUUUAAGCGUGUAGGCUGACUUUCCAGGCAAAUCCGGAAGGUUAAGGCUGAGGCGUGAUGACGAGGCACCACGGUGCUGAAGUGACAAAUGCCCUGCUUCCAGGAAAAGCCUCUAAGCAUCAGGUAACAUCAAAUCGUACCCCAAACCGACACAGGUGGUCAGGUAGAGAAUACCAAGGCGCUUGAGAGAACUCGGGUGAAGGAACUAGGCAAAAUGGUGCCGUAACUUCGGGAGAAGGCACGCUGACAUGUAGGUGAAGCCCCUGCGGGUGGAGCUGAAGUCAGUCGAAGAUACCAGCUGGCUGCAACUGUUUAUUAAAAACACAGCACUGUGCAAACACGAAAGUGGACGUAUACGGUGUGACGCCUGCCCGGUGCCGGAAGGUUAAUUGAUGGGGUUAUCGCAAGAGAAGCUCCUGAUCGAAGCCCCGGUAAACGGCGGCCGUAACUAUAACGGUCCUAAGGUAGCGAAAUUCCUUGUCGGGUAAGUUCCGACCUGCACGAAUGGCGUAAUGAUGGCCAGGCUGUCUCCACCCGAGACUCAGUGAAAUUGAACUCGCUGUGAAGAUGCAGUGUACCCGCGGCAAGACGGAAAGACCCCGUGAACCUUUACUACAGCUUGACACUGAACAUUGAGCCUUGAUGUGUAGGAUAGGUGGGAGGCUUUGAAGCGUGGACGCCAGUCUGCGUGGAGCCGACCUUGAAAUACCACCCUUUAAUGUUUGAUGUUCUAACCUGGCGCCGUGAUCCGGCGUGGGGACAGUGUCUGGUGGGUAGUUUGACUGGGGCGGUCUCCUCCCAAAGUGUAACGGAGGAGCACGAAGGUCAGCUAAUCCUGGUCGGACAUCAGGAGGUUAGUGCAAUGGCAUAAGCUGGCUUGACUGCGAGAGUGACGGCUCGAGCAGGUGCGAAAGCAGGUCAUAGUGAUCCGGUGGUUCUGUAUGGAAGGGCCAUCGCUCAACGGAUAAAAGGUACUCCGGGGAUAACAGGCUGAUACCGCCCAAGAGUUCAUAUCGACGGCGGUGUUUGGCACCUCGAUGUCGGCUCAUCACAUCCUGGGGCUGAAGUAGGUCCCAAGGGUAUGGCUGUUCGCCAUUUAAAGUGGUACGCGAGCUGGGUUUAGAACGUCGUGAGACAGUUCGGUCCCUAUCUGCCGUGGGCGCUGGAGAAUUGAGGGGGGCUGCUCCCAGUACGAGAGGACCGGAGUGGACGCAUCACUGGUGUUCGGGUUGUCAUGCCAAUGGCACUGCCCGGUAGCUAAAUGCGGAAGAGAUAAGUGCUGAAAGCAUCUAAGCACGAAACUUGCCCCGAGAUGAGUUCUCCCUGAGACUGUAAGUCUCCUGAAGGAACGUUGAAGACGACGACGUUGAUAGGCCGGGUGUGUAAGCGCAGCGAUGCGUUGAGCUAACCGGUACUAAUGAACCGUGAGGCUUAACCUUACAACGCCAAAGAAGU